RNAcentral lists this ribosomal RNA (557 nucleotides) under Saccharomyces cerevisiae (brewer's yeast). RNAcentral describes it as "eukaryotic LSU rRNA". It matches the Rfam family "Eukaryotic large subunit ribosomal RNA", at positions 48 to 608 of the family's 3401-position model. Lineage: Eukaryota; Fungi; Ascomycota; Saccharomycetes; Saccharomycetales; Saccharomycetaceae. The record is from RNAcentral.
AAGCUGAGGAAAAGAAACCAACCGGGAUUGCCUUAGUAACGGCGAGUGAAGCGGCAAAAGCUCAAAUUUGAAAUCUGGUACCUUCGGUGCCCGAGUUGUAAUUUGGAGAGGGCAACUUUGGGGCCGUUCCUUGUCUAUGUUCCUUGGAACAGGACGUCAUAGAGGGUGAGAAUCCCGUGUGGCGAGGAGUGCGGUUCCUUGUAAAGUGCCUUCGAAGAGUCGAGUUGUUUGGGAAUGCAGCUCUAAGUGGGUGGUAAAUUCCAUCUAAAGCUAAAUAUUGGCGAGAGACCGAUAGCGAACAAGUACAGUGAUGGAAAGAUGAAAAGAACUUUGAAAAGAGAGUGAAAAAGUACGUGAAAUUGUUGAAAGGGAAGGGCAUUUGAUCAGACAUGGUGUUUUGUGCCCUCUGCUCCUUGUGGGUAGGGGAAUCUCGCAUUUCACUGGGCCAGCAUCAGUUUUGGUGGCAGGAUAAAUGCAUAGGAAUGUAGCUUGCCUCGGUAAGKAUUAUAGCCUGUGGGAAUACUGCCAGCUGGGACUGUGGACUGCGACGUAAGUCA